RNAcentral lists this non-coding RNA (148 nucleotides) under Homo sapiens (human). Lineage: Eukaryota; Metazoa; Chordata; Mammalia; Primates; Hominidae. The record is from Rfam by way of RNAcentral.
GCUGGGCGUGGUGGCGUGCGCCUGUAGUCCCAGCUACGCGGGAGGCUGAGGCAGAAGAAUUGCUUGAAUCCGGGAGGCGGAGGUUGCAGUUGGCUGAGAUCGUGCCACUGCCCUCCAGCCUGGACGACAGAGCAAGACUCUGUCUCAA